RNAcentral lists this ribosomal RNA (303 nucleotides) under uncultured bacterium. Its description in RNAcentral is "bacterial SSU rRNA". It matches the Rfam family "Bacterial small subunit ribosomal RNA", at positions 355 to 651 of the family's 1533-position model. The record is from RNAcentral.
UAGGGAAUUUUCGUCAAUGGGGGGAACCCUGAACGAGCAAUGCCGCGUGAGUGAAGAAGGUUUUCGGAUCGUAAAGCUCUGUUGUAAGAGAAAAAGGGUGAUAACAGGAAAUGGUUAACACUUGAUGGUAUCUUACGAGGAAGCCACGGCUAACUACGUGCCAGCAGCCGCGGUAAUACGUAGGUGGCGAGCGUUAUCCGGAAUGAUUGGGCGUAAAGGGUGCGCAGGCGGUUGUAUAAGUCUGAAGUAAAAGCCAUCGGCUCAACCGAUGUAAGCUUUGGAAACUGUGUAACUAGAGUGCAG